This is a long non-coding RNA of Cydia splendana, 294 nucleotides long. RefSeq lists it as uncharacterized. The record is from RefSeq and is a predicted model, not a curated record. The transcript has 3 exons. Lineage: Eukaryota; Metazoa; Arthropoda; Insecta; Lepidoptera; Tortricidae.
CCUCUUCCUGUAAAUUUCGACUGGAGGGCCCAUCAUGCGGUUUCACACGUUAAGGAUCAAGGACAAUGUGGCAGCGGCUAUAUCUUCAGUGCUAUUGGAAACAUUGAAGGGCAGUACGCUAUCAAACAUCACCAAUGCUUAGCCCUUUCCGAAGGUCAGGCUCUUGAUUGUCUUGAAAGUGGGGGUUGCGAUGGAGGGUGGCCGGAUAAGAUAAUGAGGGAUUUAUAUUUUACAAAUUUAGAGAAAGAAGAAGACUAUCCGUAUCUUCCAAGGAAGAGCCUGUGUAAAGACGAC